UUAGUUAAUCAUAAAUUUUUACGAAGUUUAUACCUCACUAGAUACCGGUUCUACCCAUUCUUUUAUAUCUCUUGCUUGUGCUCAACGUUUAAACUUGACUUCGAAGAAAUUAGACUUUGACUUAUCUGUGGAGACUCCGUUAGGAGAAACCUUUAUCACAUCCACUGUUUAUAAAUCUUGCUUAAUCCAAGUUGGCACAAUGACAUUACC
This 210-nucleotide long non-coding RNA is filed under the name Panax ginseng (ginseng). Its description in RNAcentral is "long non-coding RNA (PGIN_LNC017006)". The record is from RNAcentral. Lineage: Eukaryota; Viridiplantae; Streptophyta; Magnoliopsida; Apiales; Araliaceae.